This is a long non-coding RNA of Hirundo rustica (Barn swallow), 1085 nucleotides long. RefSeq lists it as uncharacterized. The transcript has 3 exons. The record is from RefSeq and is a predicted model, not a curated record. NCBI's taxonomy places the organism in Eukaryota, Metazoa, Chordata, Aves, Passeriformes, Hirundinidae.
CAAGCUGUCACAGAGCAGAACUGCAGUGCUAUGCCAGAAAGUAAGCCCUAAGGUGGUGUUCAGCACAGCAAAUUCCCACAAGGAAAUUGGGAAUGGAUGCAGGAGCAGAGAAGGGGUUUAUUCCAAAGGACAUGAGCCUUCAGGGAAGAAAGCCAAGAAUAUUGGUGGUCAGUUUAUAUUACUGUUGGAUCUGAGUGCGUCCAUCACCACAUUGUAAAGAUGCAAAGCCACAAAUUCACAGAAGGUUGCUGCCUUAUCUCACCUUUUCACAGACCCUGCAAUUUUCCUUAUCGCUGGCAGCACCUGGGGAUAAAAUCUGCAUGUGAACUGCUUACAGCAGGACCUGCCCUAUUCACCCCGUGGGACAGGACUUCUCCUGCCUGCCCUUGCAGAGUUCCCAACAGUGUCCCGGCUCCCAGCAGCUCAGACUACCAGGAAGGCUGCAGCCCUCUCUCCCCACGACUGGGGCGACUUCUGAGGAGCAGAAAUCCAACCCCGGGGCUCCAUCCUGCAGAGACUGUACCUUGCUGGAGACAAGUACUGCAGACGGCUGCAGCUGCUCAAGCCAACUGGGACGGCAGCCGCCGGCCCCCACGCACCAGCCCUGCAGCUCAGGUGUCCUCAGGAAGGAGAGAAUUAGUGAGGACUUUAAUGCUGGAUUAGGCUGCCCCAAGUUUUCCCUUUUUCUCCUACCACCAGCUCAGCCCGUGGCAGCAGGCGGUCUCCGGUGUGGGUUACAGCCUGGCACUGCCUCUCGGAGUGGCCACGUCCUCUCCUUGACUCACAUCCCCUCUGCCUCUCCGUCAAGCAUCUUGAGGUGGCUGAUGCCUGGGGGUGUGCCCCAGGGCACUUCAAGGGCACAGGGAUGGCAGCUGCUUGAGGCUACAGCUUACAACCUAGCCCUGUCCUCUGCUGUCUGGAGCUGAAAUGGAGCAUUUUGCAAUGAAAAAAGGCUUUUGCCUCUUCACUCUGUCUUUUUCAAAACCCGUCCACCUGAACAUGGGUAGAGUCCCCUGCACCACAUGUUAAAAAUGUUCUCCCCUGUGUUUUUAGGCAUUCCCUUUUUGCAUGAAACCCCUGGGAUA